Molecule: unclassified non-coding RNA, 285 nt
Filed under: uncultured Entrophospora
Lineage: Eukaryota; Fungi; Glomeromycota; Glomeromycetes; Entrophosporales; Entrophosporaceae
Description: uncultured Claroideoglomus sequence contains 18S rRNA gene
Rfam family: Eukaryotic small subunit ribosomal RNA
Source: RNAcentral
AGCAGCCGCGGUAAUUCCAGCUCCAAUAGCGUAUAUUAAAGUUGUUGCAGUUAAAGAGCUCGUAGUUGAAUUUCGGGAUCAAUUAAUCGGUCGUGCCUCUGGUACGCACUGGUUUUAUUGGUUUCUCCCUUCUGACGUACCAGGAUGUCAUUAAUUUGGUGUCUUGGAGAAUCAGGACUGUUACUUUGAAAAAUUGAGUAUUUAAAGCAGGCUAACGCUUGAAUAUAUUAGCAUGGAAUAAUGAAAUAGGACGUUUGAUCCUAUUUUGUGGUUUCUAGGAUCGAC